GUAGGGAAUAUUGGGCAAUGGAGGCAACUCUGACCCAGCCAUGCCGCGUGCAGGAUGACGGCCCUCUGGGUUGUAAACUGCUUUUAUACGGGAAGAAAAAAUACUACGUGUAGUAUACUGACGGUACCGUAAGAAUAAGGAUCGGCUAACACCGUGCCAGCAGCCGCGGUAAUACGGAGGAUCCAAGCGUUGUCCGGAUUUAUUGGGUUUAAAGGGUGCGUAGGCGGAUCUUUAAGUCAGUGGUGAAAGCCUGCAGCUUAACUGUAGAAUUGCCAUUGAAACUGAAGAUAUUGAAUGUGGUUAAAGUAGGCGGAAUGUAUCAUGUAGCGGUGAAAUGCUUAGAUAUGAUACAGAACACCGAUAGCGAAGGCAGCUUGCUGAACCAUUAUUGACGCUGAGGCACGAAAGCGUGGGGAGCGAACAGGAUUAGAAACCCGGGUAGUCC
This 445-nucleotide ribosomal RNA is filed under the name uncultured bacterium. RNAcentral describes it as "bacterial SSU rRNA". It matches the Rfam family "Bacterial small subunit ribosomal RNA", at positions 354 to 796 of the family's 1533-position model. The record is from RNAcentral.